This 204-nucleotide unclassified non-coding RNA is filed under the name Hevea brasiliensis (rubber tree). The record is from RNAcentral. Lineage: Eukaryota; Viridiplantae; Streptophyta; Magnoliopsida; Malpighiales; Euphorbiaceae.
GUCACAUGCAGGCUUCGGGUGAAGGUGAAUAAACCUUUAAAGACAGUAAUUUCAUUGUUUGCCGUAAAUUUGUUCCAUCCCUUGCUCUUAAUUUUUUUUCUUUUAAAUAACAAUUCCAACAUAAUCAACUUAGUUUAGUUAUUCGAACUGAGAUCCUUUUUUUCUUUUUUGCUGAUGAACAGUUUAGCAUCCGGAUUUGGGUUU